Dermacentor andersoni is the source of this 682-nucleotide non-coding RNA. NCBI's taxonomy places the organism in Eukaryota, Metazoa, Arthropoda, Arachnida, Ixodida, Ixodidae. The record is from RefSeq and is a predicted model, not a curated record.
AGCCGCGUUGGCCGCCGUUGCUGCCAGCUGUGUCUGCUGUCAUCUGCCCUGAAUACAACAGCGCGGCAGUUGUGGUGGCAAAACACAGAGGUGUGUGCCGUGGUAGCCGCCGCGGUGUGUAAGAACCGGACUGUAAAUUGCAAAGGUAGAUCAUUGCAACAGUUGCAACUCCAACUAAAAUUGGAAAAGGGGAAAGACCACACAUUGUGCGCACGGCCGAUAAGCAAGCCGGCUACGAGGAGAGGCGCAAACAGCAGAGACGCGACUAAAACCAACGACAACUUACCUGUGCGAAAGCGGAGAAUGCGGCGAGUGGCUUUGCCUCCGAAAAACGUCAGCGAGAGCUGAUGCGAAAGUAUAAUCUUCGGCGUCGAGAGCAAGCUACCGAUGAAGAUGGCGCACUGGAGGCCGCUCGUAAGCGUCAAGCUAGGCCGUUCGAGUCUGCGUCAAAGUGGGAGAAGCUGUAGGAGGCUACGUAUUGGAUAGACGAAAGACACUGCCCCGUGAAGCUGUCACCGUGAUUCUUAAUAAUCUCGCUGUUAUUUCCAUAGAGUUCCCUCCUACGGAAAGUAGCUGCUCGAAAAUGAAGAAGUUACUGGCUGUUCUGUUUACAAUAUUCGCAAACUAUGUGCCAUACACUUACCAAUCACCUAUAUAUGACACUGCAGCCGGCAUGACGCAG